GACGAACGCUGGCGGCGUGCUUAACACAUGCAAGUCGAACGGAAAGGCCCUGCUUUUGUGGGGUGCUCGAGUGGCGAACGGGUGAGUAACACGUGAGUAACCUGCCCUUGACUUUGGGAUAACUUCAGGAAACUGGGGCUAAUACCGGAUAGGAGCUCCUGCUGCAUGGUGGGGGUUGGAAAGUUUCGGCGGUUGGGGAUGGACUCGCGGCUUAUCAGCUUGUUGGUGGGGUAGUGGCUUACCAAGGCUUUGACGGGUAGCCGGCCUGAGAGGGUGACCGGCGACAUUGGGACUGAGAUACGGCCCAGACUCCUACGGGAGGCAGCAGUGGGGAAUAUUGCACAAUGGGCGGAAGCCUGAUGCAGCAACGCCGCGUGCGGGAUGACGGCCUUUGGGUUGUAAACCGCUUUCGCCUGUGACGAAGCGUGAGUGACGGUAAUGGGUAAAGAAGCACCGGCUAACUACGUG
Molecule: ribosomal RNA, 468 nt
Filed under: uncultured bacterium
Lineage: Bacteria
Description: partial 16S ribosomal RNA
Rfam family: Bacterial small subunit ribosomal RNA
Source: RNAcentral